AGAGAUGUGUGAUGACGCAUAUCAAUAAGCGGAGGAAAAGAAACUAACAAGGAUUCCCUUAGUAACGGCGAGUGAAGCGGGAAGAGCUCAAAUUUGAAAUCUUCAAGGUUCUACCUUGACGAAUUGUAGUUUAUAGAAGUGUUUUCUGUUAGUAGAGUGGCAAAAGUUCUUUGGAAUAGGACAUCAUAGAGGGUGAGAAUCCCGUAUUUGGUCAUUCUUCCUAGCGUUGUGAUACACUUUCAACGAGUCGGAUUGUUUGGGAAUGCAGUCCAAAAUGGGUGGUAAAUUUCAUCUAAAGCUAAAUAUUGGCGAGAGACCGAUAGCGAACAAGUACCGUGAGGGAAAGAUGAAAAGAACUUUGAAAAGAGAGUUAAACAGUACGUGAAAUUGUCAAAAGGGAAGCGUUUGACACCAGUGUUGUUUUUCCGAAAAUCAAUUACGAAUGUUUUGUUUUUGAGGAGUUAUGACUUCAUCGGCUUGCUUCUUUCUUUAUGAAACUUUCUUAAUGCACUUUUCGGUUAACAAGUCAACAUCAAUUUCUUUUGUUGUAAAAGGGUAUGAGGAAGGUGGCUUUCUUUUCGGAGAAAGUGUUUAUAGCCUUGUACCUCUGCAAUCGGAGAGAUUGAGGUCUGCAGCGUAGAUCCUUCGGGGUUAGAUACAUUUGUGCUAAGUUAUAGCUUUUCAUAGACAACUUGUUGACUAUGUUUAGUCUUGUAGCUUACUCGCUUAUGCUAUUUUACCUACGCUUAGGAUGUUGAAGAUGUAGCACAUCAU
RNAcentral lists this ribosomal RNA (774 nucleotides) under uncultured Neocallimastigales. Its description in RNAcentral is "partial large subunit ribosomal RNA". It matches the Rfam family "Eukaryotic large subunit ribosomal RNA", at positions 23 to 643 of the family's 3401-position model. The record is from RNAcentral. Lineage: Eukaryota; Fungi; Neocallimastigomycota; Neocallimastigomycetes; Neocallimastigales.